RNAcentral lists this ribosomal RNA (158 nucleotides) under bacterium. RNAcentral describes it as "partial 23S ribosomal RNA". It matches the Rfam family "Bacterial large subunit ribosomal RNA", at positions 1297 to 1455 of the family's 2925-position model. The record is from RNAcentral.
CAAGAAUGAGUAGCGAAAAGCAAAGUGAGAAUCUUUGCCGCCGAAAACCUAAGGUUUCGAAAGCUAAGUUCGUUCGCUUAUGUUCAGGCGGGCCUAAGCUGAGGCAGAAAUGCGUAGGCGAUGGACAGACGGUAGGUAUUCCGUCCCCGUUGUUAGAU